CUUGCUUCUCUUGAGAGCGGCGGACGGGUGAGUAAUGCCUAGGAAUCUGCCUGGUAGUGGGGGAUAACGUCCGGAAACGGACGCUAAUACCGCAUACGUCCUACGGGAGAAAGCAGGGGACCUUCGGGCCUUGCGCUAUCAGAUGAGCCUAGGUCGGAUUAGCUAGUUGGUGGGGUAAUGGCUCACCAAGGCGACGAUCCGUAACUGGUCUGAGAGGAUGAUCAGUCACACUGGAACUGAGACACGGUCCAGACUCCUACGGGAGGCAGCAGUGGGGAAUAUUGGACAAUGGGCGAAAGCCUGAUCCAGCCAUGCCGCGUGUGUGAAGAAGGUCUUCGGAUUGUAAAGCACUUUAAGUUGGGAGGAAGGGCAGUAAAUUAAUACUUUGCUGUUUUGACGUUACCGACAGAAUAAGCACCGGCUAACUCUGUGCCAGCAGCCGCGGUAAUACAGAGGGUGCAAGCGUUAAUCGGAAUUACUGGGCGUAAAGCGCGCGUAGGUGGUUCGUUAAGUUGGAUGUGAAAUCCCCGGGCUCAACCUGGGAACUGCAUUCAAAACUGACGAGCUAGAGUAUGGUAGAGGGUGGUGGAAUUU
This 594-nucleotide ribosomal RNA is filed under the name uncultured bacterium. RNAcentral describes it as "bacterial SSU rRNA". It matches the Rfam family "Bacterial small subunit ribosomal RNA", at positions 79 to 669 of the family's 1533-position model. The record is from RNAcentral.